RNAcentral lists this ribosomal RNA (253 nucleotides) under uncultured bacterium. RNAcentral describes it as "partial 16S ribosomal RNA". It matches the Rfam family "Bacterial small subunit ribosomal RNA", at positions 524 to 776 of the family's 1533-position model. The record is from RNAcentral.
GACAGAGGGUGCAAACGUUGUUCGGAAUUACUGGGCGUAAAGCGCGUGUAGGCUGCUCCGCAAGUCGGAUGUGAAAGCCCCCGGCUCAACUGGGGAGGGUCACGCGAUACUGAUCGACUCGAAGGCAGGAGAGGGAAGUGGAAUUCCCGGUGUAGUGGUGAAAUGCGUAGAUAUCGGGAGGAACACCAGUGGCGAAGGCGAGUCCCUGGACGACUCCUGACACUGAGGCACGAAAGCUAGGGGAGCAAACAGG